Molecule: ribosomal RNA, 440 nt
Filed under: uncultured bacterium
Lineage: Bacteria
Description: partial 16S ribosomal RNA
Rfam family: Bacterial small subunit ribosomal RNA
Source: RNAcentral
CCUACGGGUGGCAGCAGUGGGGAAUAUUGCACAAUGGGGGAAACCCUGAUGCAGCGACGCCGCGUGAGUGAAGAAGUAUUUCGGUGUGUAAAGCUCUGUCAGCAGGGGAGAAAAUGACGGUACCUGAACAAGAAGCCCCGGCUAACUACGUGCUCGCAGCCGCGAUCAUACGUAGGGGGCAAGCGUUAUCCGGAUUUACUGGGUGUAAAGGGAGCGUAGACGGCAGGGCAAGUCUGGAGUGAAAGGCGGGGGAGCAACCCACGGACUGCACUGGAAACUGCCAGGCUGGAGUGCAGGAGAGGUAAGUGGAAGUCCUGGUGUAGCGGUGAAAUGCGUAGAUAUUAGGAGGAACACCAGUGGCGAAGGCGGCUUACUGGACUGUAACUGACGUUGAGGCUCGAAAGCGUGGGGAGCAAACAGGAUUAGAUACCCUGGUAGUC